AUAUUGCACAAUGGAGGAAACUCUGAUGCAGCGACGCCGCGUGAGGGAAGAAGGUUUUCGGAUUGUAAACCUCUGUCUUCGGUGACGAAAAUGACGGUAGCCGAGGAGGAAGCCACGGCUAACUACGUGCCAGCAGCCGCGGUAAUACGUAGGUGGCAAGCGUUGUCCGGAAUUACUGGGUGUAAAGGGAGCGUAGGCGGGGAGACAAGUUGAAUGUUUAAACUAUCGGCUCAACUGAUAGUCGCGUUCAAAACUAUCACUCUUGAGUGCAGUAGAGGUAGGCGGAAUUCCUAGUGUAGCGGUGAAAUGCGUAGAUAUUAGGAGGAACACCAGUGGCGAAGGCGGCCUACUGGGCUGUAACUGACGCUGAGGCUCGAAAGCGUGGGUAGCAAACA
Molecule: ribosomal RNA, 395 nt
Filed under: uncultured bacterium
Lineage: Bacteria
Description: bacterial SSU rRNA
Rfam family: Bacterial small subunit ribosomal RNA
Source: RNAcentral